AUGAGCGCGACGGAGAAGAGCACGGAGGGGGAGGGGGAGGGGGAGGGGUCCCAGCCCGUGGAGGCGUUCCUCGACAUCCUCGGCCGCGUCCCGAUGGGGGAGGUGGAGGGGGCGCUGGCCUCCUGCGGCGUCGGCCCGACGGCGGAGGCCGCGGAGCAGGUGCUCAAGUCCAAAACCUGCUACGAGCGCCCCAAAUCGGCCGUCCGCUUCUUCCGCUGGGCGAAGGCGUCCGUGCAGCUCACCCCCUUGGCCUGGAACCUCCUCGUCGACAUCCUCGGUAAGGCCGCCAUGUUCGAUCCCAUGUGGGAUGCCGUCCUCUCCAUGAGCCAGGAGGGCGGCCUCCUCUCCGUCGCCACAUUCGCCUCCAUGUUCGCCUCCUACUGCGCGCGCGGCAACUUCAAGGAAGCCGCCAUGGCCUUCGACGUCAUGGAGCGCCACGGCGUGACCUCGGACGCCGUUGCCCUCAACUCCCUCCUCGCCGCCAUGUGCCGCCGGGAUGGCGGCGGGCAGGCCGCGUGGGAGCUUUUCGAACGCUACAAGACCACGGUCGCGCCCGACGCGGACACCUUCGCGAUACUGCUCGAGGCGUGGGAGAAGGAGGGGAACGUCCAGCGCGCCAAGAGCACCUUCGGCGAGAUGGUCGUUCGCGUCGGGUGGGACGCCAGCAACAUGCCUGCCUACGAUGCUUUCCUCUCCACGCUUGUGCGAGGGGACCAGUUCAACGAGGCAUUGAAGUUCCUCCAGGUGAUGCGGACCAAGGGCUGCCUCCCGGGGCUCAAGUUCUUUGCCAACGCGAUCGACCUUGUCGUCCGCAAGGGAGACCAUGCCAAUGCUAUUGCUAUCUGGCAAAUUAUGGUCUCGGAUGCAGGACUGGUUCCCAAUCUCCCAAUGUACAAUGCCGUAAUUGCCCUCUGCUCUAGUGUCGGUAACACCGACUACGCCUUCCAGAUGCUCGACGAAAUGCCAUUAAAUGGGGUCUUUGCAGAUUCUGUUACAUAUAAUGCCAUACUUGAGGGGCUCAUCAAGCAGCGCAAGGCUCGUGAGACUGAAGGUUUCCUUGCGGAGAUGAGCAAGAACGAGCAGCUGCCCUCUGCCUCCAACUGUGCUGCUGCUAUCAGCUUAUUUUGUCAGGAGUUUAACCCAUCUGCCGCAGUUGACGUGUGGCACUGCAUCGUGGAGCACCAAAUUACUCCGGCUGAGGAAUCAGCCAAAGAGCUAAUAACUGGGCUUCUCGACUUUAGCAGGUUCUCCGAGGUGAAGAAAUAUACCGAUCAGAUGCUUGACAUGGGAAUUGAGUUGCCCCAGCCCACCAUUGAAAAAAUGAAGCGAGCAUUUUACAAGGCUGAGAGGCACCACACAUAUGACCAAAUUGCACGAAGGUUGAAGCGGCGGUAA
Molecule: ribosomal RNA, 1395 nt
Filed under: Triticum aestivum (bread wheat)
Lineage: Eukaryota; Viridiplantae; Streptophyta; Magnoliopsida; Poales; Poaceae
Description: partial small subunit ribosomal RNA
Source: RNAcentral